This 447-nucleotide ribosomal RNA is filed under the name uncultured bacterium. Its description in RNAcentral is "bacterial SSU rRNA". It matches the Rfam family "Bacterial small subunit ribosomal RNA", at positions 330 to 793 of the family's 1533-position model. The record is from RNAcentral.
UCCAGACUCCUACGGGAGGCAGCAGUGGGGGAUAUUGCACAAUGGGGGAAACCCUGAUGCAGCGACGCCGCGUGAGUGAAGAAGUAUUUCGGUAUGUAAAGCUCUAUCAGCAGGGAAGAAAAAAGACGGUACCUGACUAAGAAGCCCCGGCUAACUACGUGCCAGCAGCCGCGGUAAUACGUAGGGGGCAAGCGUUAUCCGGAUUUACUGGGUGUAAAGGGAGCGUAGACGGCAAUACAAGUCGGAAGUGAAAUACCCGGGCUCAACCUGGGAACUGCUUUGGAAACUGUAUGGCUGGAGUGCUGGAGAGGUAAGCGGAAUUCCUAGUGUAGCGGUGAAAUGCGUAGAUAUUAGGAGGAACACCAGUGGCGAAGGCGACUUUCUGGACUGUACCUGACGCUGAGGCGCGAAAGCGUGGGUAGCGAACGGGAUUAGAUACCCGAGUAU